CACAGCAAUUUAAUUAUAUAUUUAAUAGUUACUAACUUUUAAUUAUUUAAUAUAUAUUUAUUAUUUCAUAAUAUGUAAAAAUAUUUAAUACAUAAAAUAAUUUUUAUAUAUAAUGUUGAUACCGCGCAAGGCGUGGAUCUUGACCUAGUAAGAUAACUAUAAGAAGAAAAAACUCAUUAACAUACAUUCGCAUUGUGGUCCACCGCCACAUUAUUCUAACCUCUCUCUACACGAGGUUAAAAAUCAAGCAUUGUUACUAAACUAUUCAACUUCGUCAAUAUAUAGCCCUUUCUCAAAAAAAAAUAAAAAUACUUCGUCAAUAUAAAAAACUUUCAUAUAUGGAACAAAAACAUCCAAUAAAAAACAACAACGAGUUGUCUAAGUUUAGAAUUAAAAUUUGGCAUAUAUUCCCACUAGAACACAAAGCCAGUAAAGAUUUAAUCAUUUGGUUUCUAACUUCUAAGACCAUCCUUAUCGGGGUCUCUUAAGCCCCGUAUUUAGUGUUUUUAGAUUUAAAAAAAAAAAAAAAAUUACCCAAUUUGUUUAGCAACGUUGCUUAAUUUAGGCCCAGAAGAGACGGAUCUUGUGGGAUGCAUGUGACACUCUCCUGUUUCUUUAUCUUUCUUGAAAGUCAUCUAGUCUCCUUCUUCACGAUUUAUGCACCGAGAUCCUCCAAGCUCACGGCUGGGACCUCGAACUCGCCAUUUCCUCCUUCACAUCACCAUCUGACCCUCACGAAGAUGACCCUUCGUCUUCCCGCGUCGACGGCGAUCACGAUACUGAAUUCAAAGAAGACGACCCUUCUUGCGGCGCAAUCGUUAACGACCCGAGAGCGGUCAGACCUCCGGGGAUCGCUUGGAAGAUCAUCACUUUACCGGUUUCGACCGUCUCCGGUAGCUUAGGGGUUUGGAUCAGGUCGCGGCGGCGGGUCUGAGUCAUCGUCGUCGGUUUCUUUGGCGGCAGGUGAAGCGAUGGAGUUUAUUACUUUGUUCGAUAGAGACGAUGGACUUUGGCGGCAGGGGAAGCGAUGUUAUCUCUGGUAUGUCCUAGGUAAAUUUUGAUGCUUUUGAUAGUGAUCAGAUUAGUUUAGAUGUUCAGUUGAGUGAUGUUUUCUCUUUUAUGUCUGCGGUAAAGCUUGAUGCUUUUUGAUAGUGAUCAUAUUAGAUUAGAUGUUUAAUUGAGUGGUUUUUUCUCUGUCAAUGUCUAGGGUAAAGCUUGAUGCUUUUGAUGGUUAUCUGAUUACAUUAGAGGUUGAGUCUGAAUCUAUAGUGUAAAGCUUGAUGCUCUUGAUGUAUAGUGUUUGUUUAUGUCACUGUCUUUGUUUCUUAAUCUUUCUCGUGUCUGAAUCUUUGUUGUGUUUGUCUUGUUCUUCUUAUGUUUGUUCUUGUUCUGUUUAAGUUCUUGUUAUGUUAAAAAGUUAAAAUGUUU
This is a long non-coding RNA of Brassica napus (rape), 1428 nucleotides long. RefSeq lists it as uncharacterized. The transcript is spliced from 2 exons. The record is from RefSeq and is a predicted model, not a curated record. NCBI's taxonomy places the organism in Eukaryota, Viridiplantae, Streptophyta, Magnoliopsida, Brassicales, Brassicaceae.